Macaca fascicularis (crab-eating macaque) is the source of this 1893-nucleotide long non-coding RNA. The record is from Ensembl. NCBI's taxonomy places the organism in Eukaryota, Metazoa, Chordata, Mammalia, Primates, Cercopithecidae.
UUUUUUCUUUUUUUUUCCUUUUUUUUUAAUGUCACUCUCUCCCAUUAACACAUCUUGCUGCUUUUAGGAUCCGUUCUUUAUCAUUGAUCUUUUGGUUGUUUUGAAACUGGAGGGGUUCUCUUAUCCCCCUCACAGGGCAUGUGACAGGGGUUUGGAUUACUUCUUUGUUUCCCUGCUGCUCAAACUCCUAGGGAGAGCAGACAGACAGGCAGGUCGUGAGGAGCGUUUUUGGGCUUCGACCCCGUGGCAGCAUCUAGGGUUGAGUGUUUACAGCUCCCAAAGCCCCAAUGGGCAUGUGUUACAGUGUGCUCUUUCAUCUUAGCCAUCUGCAGGCAGCUUGUGUUAAUCGGCUCAAUUAGAUCCUCUGCCUUAUUACAAGGACAGAGGGCUUUCUGUGUAUCGAGGUUUUGGGCCCUGAUUUACCAGAAAAAUCAGAUCACACGUGGGCUUGGAGAAUGAGUGCAAGGUUUUAUUGAGUGGUGGAAGUCGCUCUCAGCAGAUGGAUGGGGAGCUAGAAGGGGGAUGGGGUGGGAAGGUGGUCUUCCUCUGGAGUUGAGCCACCCAGCAGGUGGACUAUCCUCCGACUGAAUUCCCCUCAGAGUCCACGUCGUUUCUCAGUCGAUGGCCUGUCGGCAUCUGCCUGUGUGUUCUUCUGCCAGUGUGUUCCUCUUGACAUCCAGCCAUUUGUGUGUGUGCCUGCUAGGGUCUUGGGUGUUUAUGGGUAUAGGAUGGGUGGGGGGCAUGGCAGACCAGUGUGGUCUUGGAAAAUGCAACAUAUGGGCAUGAAAACAGGAGUGCCUGUCCUCACCUAGGUCUGUGGGAACAGGCCUGAGGAUGGAGCCCUCAACCCGGACCCCACCCUUUUCUACCCAGCACUUUCCUGCCCCCUGUUUCAUAUCAGUUUGAUAUUAAGUUCCUUGAGGUUGUCUUUUUUGGGGGUUAAGUCUGCUUGGUGUUCUAUAACCAUCUUAUACUUGAAUGUUGAUAUCUUUCUCUUGGUUUGGGAAGUUCUCUUUAUCCCUUUGAAUAAACUUUCUUCCCUUAUGUUUUUCUCUACCUUCUUUUUAAGCCAAUAACUCAGAUUUUUCCUUUUCAGGCAACUUUCUAGGUCCUCUGGGUGUGCUUCCAGUUUUAAAAUCCUUUUUUCUUUUGUCUCCUUUGACUAUGUAUUUUCAAUUGACCUGUCUUCAAGCUCACUAAUUCUUUCUUCUUCUUUACCAAUCCUGCUAUUUAAAGAUUCUGAUGCAUUCUUCAGUAUGUCAAAUGUAUUAUUCAACUCCAGAUUUUCUGCUUGAUUCUUUUUAAAUAUUUCAAUAUCUUUGUUAAAUUUAUCUGAUAAAAAAACUGUGUGUUAUCUUAAAUUUCUAUAAGUUACCUCAAACAACUAUUUUGCAUUCUUAUUCUGAAAGGCCACAUAUCUCUGUUUCUACAAAAUUCAUUCCUGGUGGCUUAUUUACUUCAUAUUGUGAGGUUAUGUUUUCCUGGAUGGUCCUGAUGCCUGUUGACAUUCGUCUGUGUCUGGUCAUUGAAGAGUUAGUUUUUUAUUGCGGUCUUCAUAGUCUGGGCUUGUUUGUACCCAUCGUUUCAGGGAAGGUUUUUCAUGUAUUCAAAAGACCCUGGGCAUUGUGAUUAAAGCCAUAUCUACAUUAAGGGGCACCCCAAGCCCAGUAAUGCUGUGGUUCUUGCAGACUUGUAUAGGUACCACCUUGGUGGUAUUGGACAAGAUCCAGGAGAAUUUUCUCAUUUACCAGGCAGAGACUCUUGUUCUCCUCCCUUACUUUCUGCCAAACAAAUGGAUUCUCUGUCUGUUCUGAGCUUACUGGAGGUGGGUUUGAAAUGACACAAGCACCCCUUUGGCCACCACCACUGGGAUUGUGCUGGGUUAGACCUGAA